Molecule: small RNA, 156 nt
Filed under: Streptomyces sp.
Lineage: Bacteria; Bacillati; Actinomycetota; Actinomycetes; Kitasatosporales; Streptomycetaceae
Description: c-di-AMP sequence
Rfam family: c-di-AMP riboswitch aptamer (ydaO/yuaA leader)
About the family: This family represents a conserved RNA structure found upstream of the ydaO and yuaA genes in Bacillus subtilis and related genes in other bacteria. The ydaO/yuaA element is thought to act as a genetic "off" switch for the ydaO and yuaA genes in its native state.
Source: RNAcentral
CGUGCGCACGCGCCGAAUCCCGCAAGGGAACCGGGGAACCAACAAUUGGGGUGAAUCGGGAGUUUCUUGCUGCCGCAAAGCAGCGAGUCACACCCGUAGGAGACCUUCCUGCUCCGAACCCGUCAGCUAACCCGGUAGGCGAGAAGGAAGGAAAGG